AAAAGAACUUGGGUUUAGGCUCACCGUUGAAGAUUUCCCCUUCCUCGAGCGACUCGCGUCUCAGAGUUCACGACUGCACCUGGCCGAAUCACGAUUCACGCGACUCACCGCCGUGCAUCGGCUGUCCACCGCCGCGUCUGAGCGACGGCGACACCAUGUCUUACCGUCCCCUCACCCUGGUUCUGACGAUUCAAGCACCGAUCCCGAUCUCGCUUGCUCUGAGCAAUUGCUAUUCUCGUGCUGCAACGAUGAAUCGGAAUUUUGCUCCAGCCAGGAAACUUCGUUCUCUGACCUUCACUUCGAGAUUUUCUGCGAAUGCUCAUGGAUUACACUUCACCAUGUUCAUCGAUUUUGGAAGGUAAUGUGAGGGUAGAGAACUGUUGGAUCAAAUAUUGGCCUAGAUGUGGGAACCACCUGAAUCUAAUGGGAUGCUUUCAAAAACGCUAGCAUGAACAAGAGCUGUAAACAGAAUCAUGGAACUCCCGCAAGAUAGUAAGGCAGUAGCCAAGCACACAGAUAGUCCCAAUGUAAGGAUGGGUUUUCUAUACUUCAUUUUCCAUGUUAAACUAUAGAUAUGGCUCAAGAGCGUUUAUGUUUAUAGCUAAGGGCUAUGUACUAUUAUUAUCACCAGCUCGCUCUUUUGGCAUUGUGCAUGAAUGUAGUUCCCUUCUUAAUUAUCAUCGAUGCAUUAUCUGUUUUUGUAUUUCUGCACUACUACUACUACUGCAGCUAAGUACUUUCUGCUCACCAUGACUUUUUUGUUAUGUGGGUGUAGUGUUUCAAAGCAGUGUUUAACAGCUUUAGUGUAUGUUGAUUUAGGAUUGUAAGAAUGUUGUCAAGAUCAUUUUGAGGGUAAACAUUUUCUUUUUCAUUUUGAGGUUGUAGUGUGGUCUUGAUUAUGCUUAUUGCUUAUGGUCUAUUAUGCUUUGGUUGGGUCUACAAUUGCAUAUUAGUUAUGAAGUCAGUGAGAUAUUACCUUAUGCAACAGAUUCAAUGUGUAGACAUCAUAUCCAAAUGAAGCACUCCCAGGUCUUUUCUUAUUUAGUUUUGAAUGCAUGUAAUGGUGUGUAUGAGCUUGGAAAGCAUGUAUAUAUUUUUAGAAGGAUAAAGCAUGCAUUGGAAAUAGGUAAUGGUUAACUAAACUGAUCUGCGUACAUAUGAUGGAAUUUAAUGAAUAAGAAUGAUCUUCUAUUGCAUUCAGCUUGCAUCACAUGACACUUCUUAGUAAUUCCUUACUGCAUUGUUUUCCUCCCACUAUAUCGUGUUUCUUUCCUGGUAGGUAAUGGUUAACUAAAUCUUCUCAACAUGCAGAACAUGGUAGCAUUCUUCUAUUGUGUAUAGGAGGGGAGACAUAUAACAUAUUUGGUUCCAUUGAUAAAGAUCAAUGUUGUAUAAGACUUCUGAUUGCAUUUUUGCUCAUUGCAGCGGCUUUUCUUGGUGAUCAGAGACAAUAUGAUGUGACUCUAAUCACUCAUUUUCUUUUUUCAAUUUUUUCUCUUCUCUUUUAAUCUCUCUUCAAGUGUACUGUUUGUGUUUAUUUGGGUUUGGAGAAUGUGAUUUGAUGUGUGUUUGUGCAGAUUGUGGGAUGGAGAAUAUCCUGAAGCCAGGUGACAUUAUAAAGGGUCGUGACUGCGGUUUUUUACUAGAAGCGCACUCGUUGCAAUAAGUUUCACUCUACUAUUCAAUUCGUUAGCGCACUCGUCGCAGUAAGUUUCACUUUACUAUUCAAUUCAUUCACAUGUUUUAGAACUUCGCUGUUUAUUAAGUGGAAGCUGGAAAAAAGGUAAGAUCACAUUCACAUCCUACUUAUUACAAGCUAGCUUCUCUCCCCUACCACUAGAAAUGUCAACAUCAAAUGCUUAAGUGUAUGACCUAGUACAAGCAUAAAACAUAGAUAAACAUAGUGUUAUUUUGACACUCACAAUGGCUUGCUUAUUAUUAAGUGGAAGGUUCAUGUUUGACGGGGUAAGUGUGUAAUAAAAUUUGCUCCAGGUUACUUGCCUGCAGUUUAUAGCAUCAAAAACAAAGCAGGUCUCGUCAUAGCCGAUGAGAUUCAGUCAGGGUUUGGUCGUCUUGGUAGUCACUUUUUGGGUUUUGAGGUACAUGGAAUUGUCCUGGAUAUUGCAACAGUAGCAAAGAUAGCAUUUUAUCUAAGCUGCAUAUGUGAUUAUUUAAUAAAUGCUACUUAGCUAGGUUGACUAUGCAUGAACUAGAAAUAAUUGCAUUUGUAAUGCAAUUGAAGGUUACUUCACCCAUUCAAUGGGAAACAACAGUGAAGACUCUUCUCAACAAGGGGCACAAGAAAGGCUAUGAACUGGGACCUAGAAAGUUAUACAAUACAUUUGUUAGGGAAUGUGGUUUCACACUACUGAACUAGCCGAAGUGAGGAAGAACGACUUAACAAAAGUUUCCAGGCUGACUACGAGAGAUAGAGCUCUAGCACAACACAACGAUUUAUCAGCAAUUGUAAGAAGUAGAACGCGGGUUACUGGGUAAGUGUUUGUGAACUGUUGUAGUUAGUCUAUUUACUCCCUAUAAACAGGCACUACAACAUUUUUCGCCUUCCACUGCGGAUGGAAAACCGCGGCGCAAUGUGAAAAAACCGUGGCUAAAAGCUUAUACCACGGUUCUGCCACGGUUUUCUUGUCGCGGGUUAUGUGGCCGUGGCCAAGUUCAAGUGCCACGGUUUGGCCAAGUUGGCAAUAGCUUUUAGCCACGGUUGUUAUAGAAGCUUAAAACCACAGUUUGUUUUAUGCCACGGUUUUAGCCACUGUUUUG
This is a long non-coding RNA of Lotus japonicus, 2778 nucleotides long. RefSeq lists it as uncharacterized. Lineage: Eukaryota; Viridiplantae; Streptophyta; Magnoliopsida; Fabales; Fabaceae. The record is from RefSeq and is a predicted model, not a curated record. The transcript has 6 exons.